Molecule: unclassified non-coding RNA, 348 nt
Filed under: soil metagenome
Description: partial contains 5.8S ribosomal RNA, internal transcribed spacer 2, and large subunit ribosomal RNA
Rfam family: 5.8S ribosomal RNA (bases 1-120)
Source: RNAcentral
GAUGAAGAACGCAGCGAAAUGCGAUAAGUAAUGUGAAUUGCAGAAUUCAGUGAAUCAUCGAAUCUUUGAACGCACAUUGCGCCCGACAGUAUUCUGGCGGGCAUGCCUGUCUGAGCGUCAUUUCAACCCUCAUGCCCCUAGGGCGUGGUGUUGGGGAUCGGCCAAAGCCCGCGAGGGACGGCCGGCCCCUAAAUCUAGUGGCGGACCCGUCGUGGCCUCCUCUGCGAAGUAGUGAUAUUCCGCAUCGGAGAGCGACGAGCCCCUGCCGUUAAACCCCCAACUUUCCAAGGUUGACCUCAGAUCAGGUAGGAAUACCCGCUGAACUUAAGCAUAUCAAUAAGCGGAGGA